Molecule: ribosomal RNA, 279 nt
Filed under: uncultured bacterium
Lineage: Bacteria
Description: partial 16S ribosomal RNA
Rfam family: Bacterial small subunit ribosomal RNA
Source: RNAcentral
UGCCAGCCGCCGCGGUAAUACGAAGGUCCCAAGCGUUGUUCGGAAUUACUGGGCGUAAAGCGCGCGUAGGCGGACUAGUCAGUCAGAGGUGAAAUCCCAGGGCUCAACCCUGGAACUGCCUUUGAUACUGCUAGUCUUGAGUUCGAGAGAGGUGAGUGGAAUUCCGAGUGUAGAGGUGAAAUUCGUAGAUAUUCGGAGGAACACCAGUGGCGAAGGCGGCUCACUGGCUCGAUACUGACGCUGAGGUGCGAAAGUGUGGGGAGCAAACAGGAUUAGAUA